This 245-nucleotide ribosomal RNA is filed under the name uncultured bacterium. Its description in RNAcentral is "partial 16S ribosomal RNA". It matches the Rfam family "Bacterial small subunit ribosomal RNA", at positions 57 to 305 of the family's 1533-position model. The record is from RNAcentral.
GCAAGUCGAACGAGAAAGCACUUCGGUGUGAGUAAAGUGGCGGACGGGUGAGUAACGCGUAGGAAUCUACCCAGUAGUUGGGGACAACCCGAGGAAACUCGGGCUAAUACCGAAUACGAUCUACGGAUUAAAGAAGGCCUCUAUUUAUAAGCUUUCGCUAUUGGAGGAGCCUGCGUGGGAUUAGUUUGUUGGUGGGGUAAUGGCCUACCAAGACUACGAUCCCUAGCUGGUCUGAGAGGACGAUC